This 934-nucleotide ribosomal RNA is filed under the name uncultured archaeon. RNAcentral's name for it is "bacterial SSU rRNA". It matches the Rfam family "Archaeal small subunit ribosomal RNA", at positions 1 to 922 of the family's 1478-position model. The record is from RNAcentral.
UUCCGGUUGAUCCUGCCGGACCCGACUGCUAUUUGGGUGAGGAUAAGCACGCGAGUUGAAUGGGAAACCUAAAAAUCCCAUGGCAAACUGCUCAGUAACACAUGAUCAACUUACCCUAUAGAGGAAAAUAACCUCGGGAAACUGAGGAUAAUGUUCCAUAGUUGAAUUGGCUUGGAAAAGUUUUUCAAUAAAAGGGAUAAGGAAAAUGGUUCUUAUCUGCUAUAGGAUAGGAUCGUGCUCGAUUAUGGUUGUUGGUGAGGUAAAGGCUCACCAAGCCGAUAAUCGAUAGGGGCCGUGAGAGCGGGAGCCCCGAGAUGGGUACUGAGACAACGACCCAGGCCUUACGAGGCGCAGCAGGCGCGAAACCUCCGCAAUACACGAAAGUGUGACGGGGUUACCCAAAGUGUUCUAUUUAGAACUGUGGUAGGUGAGUAAUGUUCCCUACUAGAAAGGGGAGGGCAAGGCUGGUGCCAGCCGCCGCGGUAAAACCAGCUCUUCAAGUGGUCGGGAUAAUUAUUGGGCUUAAGGUGUCCGUAGCCGGUUUAGUAAGUUCCUGGUAAAAUCGGGUAGCUUAACUAUCUAUAUGCUAGGAAUACUGCUAUACUAGAGGGCGGGAGAGGUCUGAGGUACUACAGGGGUAGGGGUGAAAUCUUAUAAUCCUUGUAGGACCACCAGUGGCGAAGGCGUCAGACUGGAACGCGCCUGACGGUGAGGGACGAAAGCCAGGGGAGCGAACCGGAUUAGAUACCCGGGUAGUCCUGGCCGUAAACGAUGCAUACUAGGUGAUGGCACGGCCAUGAGCCGUGUCAGUGCCGUAGGGAAACCGUUAAGUGUGCCGCCUGGGAAGUACGGUCGCAAGGCUAAAACUUAAAGGAAUUGGCGGGGGAGCACCACAAGGGGUGAAGCCUGCGGUUCAAUUGGAUUCAACGCCGGG